Molecule: ribosomal RNA, 496 nt
Filed under: uncultured bacterium
Lineage: Bacteria
Description: partial 16S ribosomal RNA
Rfam family: Bacterial small subunit ribosomal RNA
Source: RNAcentral
GAUGAACGCUGGCGGCGUGCCUAAUACAUGCAAGUCGAGCGAACGGACGAGAAGCUUGCUUCUCUGAUGUUAGCGGCGGACGGGUGAGUAACACGUGGAUAACCUACCUAUAAGACUGGGAUAACUUCGGGAAACCGGAGCUAAUACCGGAUGAUAUUUUGUACCGCAUGGUUCAAAAGUGAAAGACGGUCUUGCUGUCACUUAUAGAUGGAUCCGCGCUGCAUUAGCUAGUUGGUAAGGUAACGGCUUACCAAGGCAACGAUGCAUAGCCGACCUGAGAGGGUGAUCGGCCACACUGGAACUGAGACACGGUCCAGACUCCUACGGGAGGCAGCAGUAGGGAAUCUUCCGCAAUGGGCGAAAGCCUGACGGAGCAACGCCGCGUGAGUGAUGAAGGUCUUCGGAUCGUAAAACUCUGUUAUUAGGGAAGAACAUAUGUGUAAGUAACUGUGCACAUCUUGACGGUACCUAAUCAGAAAGCCACGGCUAACUACGU